CAGUCCGGUCCCGCGGUGUCUCCGCCUGUUGAUGCCGCGCGGCCCGCGGGCUCGGAUGCU
RNAcentral lists this microRNA precursor (60 nucleotides) under Bos taurus (domestic cattle). RNAcentral's name for it is "Bta-Mir-10182_pre stem-loop". Lineage: Eukaryota; Metazoa; Chordata; Mammalia; Artiodactyla; Bovidae. The record is from RNAcentral.